AGGGAAUGUGAAUUGAAGAACAUGUCUAAAAUAAUCCGUGGAACCAUUCUAGCUGCAGCUGUUGGCAGUGCGACUGUCUUUGCAAUUGGAGAGGCUAAAGUGCUUUGGAAUGAGAAUCAAAUAACUGAGAAAUUGAGCUAUUCGUUUGAGGAAUCAGAUCGACGCUUCGGGAAUGUCCUCACUCAGGGUGUUAAUGUAAGUGGAUUGGUGACCUCUGCUAAGAAAUCCUGGAAUACAGGAAUAAUCACAUCUUGUCAAUAUUUACAAGAGAAUUGUGAUAUUAAAGUUCUUGGUCGAUUAGUUUCAAGUAAGUCAAAAGAUGCAUACAACAGCUUGAUUGGAACUACAAGUUCACCUGAUGAGUCACAUGAUGAGUCACAUGAUGAGUCAAACUCUUCUACAGAUAGCCCUUCAGAAGAUAACUCAUGAUUGGUAUCAUGUCGCGAUUUUAUGUAGCUUCUUUAUGGGCUUUGAAUAGUUUAAUUUAUUACAACGGAUGUAGAAAAGUUACUGGACAUUACUUCGGGAAAUAGGAAUUAUAUUUGUGCUAUUUUAUGAUACUUAAACUCAGCUAGAAUUAAUUUAUUUGCAUCAUCUACAUUCAUAACUAUUUUGCCAAUAUGAAAUGUGCAUGCAUUUAUUUUUUUGGGGUCAUUUGCUCCUUCUAUCUCAUUUUCUAUCUCAUGUUGACUAUCUUUAUACAAUAACGUUGUCUGAAACUCGAUUGUAAAGUUUGUGUUGAUCACUCAUAGUUGGAAAAAAUGUUGUCUGAAAAAUUAUGCGAUUUCAAUAAAGUUUUAUAUUUCCUUGUUUUGAGUAUGU
This is a long non-coding RNA of Bolinopsis microptera, 822 nucleotides long. RefSeq lists it as uncharacterized. NCBI's taxonomy places the organism in Eukaryota, Metazoa, Ctenophora, Tentaculata, Lobata, Bolinopsidae. The record is from RefSeq and is a predicted model, not a curated record. The transcript is spliced from 2 exons.